ACUGAGGGUAAACCUGAAUAGGAAAUAAAUUCUGGAAGGGUUUAUUUCUCAAACUCCGUCCCCGUAGAAUGAGUUGGCGGUCGAUUAGGUUGUUGGUGGGGUAAAGGCCCACCAAGCUUAAGAUCGGUAGGGGCCUUGGUAGAGGUAGCCCCGAGAAGGACACUGAGAUACUGGUCCUAGCUCCACGGAGUGCAGCAGGCGCGAAACCUUUACAAUGCACGAAAGUGUGAUAGGGGGAUCCCAAGUGCUCAUACACUGUAUGGGCUUUUGCCAAGAAUAAAUACCUUGGCGAAUAAGUGGUGGGCAAGACGGGUGCCAGCCGCCGCGGUAACACCCGCGCCACGAGUGGGAAUCGCAUUAUUGGGCCUAAAGCGUCCGUAGCCGGUUUUGUAAAUCUCUUGUGAAAUCGUCCUGCUUAACUUGACGGCGUGCAGGAGACACUGCAAGACUUGAGACCGGGAGGAGUUAGAGGUAUUCUUGGGGAACUGGUAAAAUGGUAUAAUCCUAAGAAGACCACCUGUGGCGAAGGCGUCUAACCAGAACGGUUCUGACGGUGAGGGACGAAAGCUAGGGGAGCGAACCGGAUUAGAUACCCGAGUAGUCCUAGCCGUAAACGCUGCGAGCUAGGUGUUGCAUAUUCUAUAUGAAUAUGCAGUGUCGAAGCGAAGGUAUUAAGCUCGCCGCCUGGGAAGUACGGUCGCAAGGCUGAAACUUAA
This 716-nucleotide ribosomal RNA is filed under the name uncultured euryarchaeote. RNAcentral's name for it is "SSU rRNA". It matches the Rfam family "Archaeal small subunit ribosomal RNA", at positions 139 to 859 of the family's 1478-position model. Lineage: Archaea; Methanobacteriati; Methanobacteriota. The record is from RNAcentral.